This 495-nucleotide ribosomal RNA is filed under the name uncultured bacterium. Its description in RNAcentral is "partial 16S ribosomal RNA". It matches the Rfam family "Bacterial small subunit ribosomal RNA", at positions 29 to 506 of the family's 1533-position model. The record is from RNAcentral.
AUGAACGCUGGCGGCGUGCCUAAUACAUGCAAGUCGAGCGAACGGACGAGAAGCUUGCUUCUCUGAUGUUAGCGGCGGACGGGUGAGUAACACGUGGAUAACCUACCUAUAAGACUGGGAUAACUUCGGGAAACCGGAGCUAAUACCGGAUAAUAUUUUGAACCGCAUGGUUCAAAAGUGAAAGACGGUCUUGCUGUCACUUAUAGAUGGAUCCGCGCUGCAUUAGCUAGUUGGUAAGGUAACGGCUUACCAAGGCAACGAUGCAUAGCCGACCUGAGAGGGUGAGCGGCCACACUGGAACUGAGACACGGUCCAGACUCCUACGGGAGGCAGCAGUAGGGAAUCUUCCGCAAUGGGCGAAAGCCUGACGGAGCAACGCCGCGUGAGUGAUGAAGGUCUUCGGAUCGUAAAACUCUGUUAUUAGGGAAGAACAUAUGUGUAAGUAACUGUGCACAUCUUGACGGUACCUAAUCAGAAAGCCACGGCUAACUACGU